RNAcentral lists this ribosomal RNA (1279 nucleotides) under Mallinella bidenticulata. Its description in RNAcentral is "partial 28S ribosomal RNA". It matches the Rfam family "Eukaryotic large subunit ribosomal RNA", at positions 675 to 1851 of the family's 3401-position model. The record is from RNAcentral. Lineage: Eukaryota; Metazoa; Arthropoda; Arachnida; Araneae; Zodariidae.
UGAACAUGUGCGCGAGUCGCCGGGACCUGAACAGGCCCGCAGGCGCAACGAGAGCGAGACGUGCCGAAGAGCACGCUAGCCGCGAUCCGGGGCCCACGCGGUCCCGGCGCAGCGGCCGCCCGCCCCCCGGGGCGGAGCGAGAGCGYACACGUUGGUACCCGAAAGAUGGUGAACUAUACCCGGGCMGGACGAAGYCGGGGGAAACCCCGGUGGAGGUCCSCAGCGGUUCUGACGUGCAAAUCGAUCGUCGGAUCCGSGCYUAGGGGCGAAAGACCAAUCGAACCAUCUAGUAGCUGGUUCCUUCCGAAGUUUCCCUCAGGAUAGCUGGCGCUCGAGGGAUUCAGUCUCGUCCUGUAAAGCGAAUGAUUAGAGGCAUCGGGGCCGAAACGGCCUCGACCUGUUCUCAAACUUUAAAGGGGCGAGAAGUCCGCCUUGCCUAUUUUCAAACGAAGGCCGGACAUCAUCUGGAUGAGAGUGCCCAGUGGGCCACUUUUGGUAAGCAGAACUGGCGCUGCGGGAUGAACCGAACGCCGGGUUACGGCGCCCGAUGCGAGACGCUCACGAGACCCCAUGAAAGGCGUCGGUUGCUCAAGACAGCAGGACGGUGGCCAUGGAAGUCGGAAUCCGCUAAGGAGUGUGUAACAACUCACCUGCCGAAGCAACUGGCCCUGAAAAUGGAUGGCGCUUCAGCGUCGAGCCCAUACCCGGCCGCCGGCGCGGCCUGUAAGACUCCCGGACUCUGAACUAUGGGGAGCGUUGCCAYGCGCCGGCGAGUAGGAAGGGCGCCGCGGGGAGCGUGGAAGGUGUCGUGCGWGAGCACGCCUGGAGCCCCCGCGGGUGCAGAUCUUGGUGGUAGUAGCAAAUACUCGAGAGAGAAACCUUGAGGACCGAAGAACGGAGAAGGUUUCCAUGUGAACAGCAGUUGAACGUGGGUCAGUCGGCCCUGAGGGAUCGGAGAGAUCCGUUCCGAAGCGGGGGCCUUGAGCAAGCUCCCCGCGUGUCCCGAAAGGGAACGGGGUUAACAUUCCCCGACCCGGACACGGGAGUCGGGCCUUCGGGCCCAGAUGCGGUAACGCAAGCGAACUCGGUGACGGUGGCGGAGGACCCGGGGAAGAGUUUUCUUUUCUUCGUAAGAGGUCGUGUCCCUGGAAUCGGUUCGCCCGGAGAUAGGGACGUUGGCUUCGUAAGAGCGCCGCGUUUCUCGCGGCGUCCGGUCCCCCUCCGCCUGCCCUUGAAAAGCCGAGGGAGAGAUUAUGAUUCCCGUGCCGGACCGUACCUU